GCUCAGUUGGUAUAGCACAAAGCUCUUAACCUUGUGGACGUGGGUUCAAUCCCCGU
This 56-nucleotide transfer RNA is filed under the name Triticum aestivum (bread wheat). The record is from Rfam by way of RNAcentral. Lineage: Eukaryota; Viridiplantae; Streptophyta; Magnoliopsida; Poales; Poaceae. RNAcentral also lists the same sequence under 1 other name.